Molecule: non-coding RNA, 135 nt
Organism: Triticum aestivum (bread wheat)
Lineage: Eukaryota; Viridiplantae; Streptophyta; Magnoliopsida; Poales; Poaceae
Source: Rfam
CAAAUACUUCCUCCGUUCCAAAUUACUUGUCUUAGAUUUAUCUAGAUACGGAGGAAUCUAGCAUUAAAAUGAGUCUAGAUACAUCCGUAUCUAAACAAAUUCAAGACAAAUAAUUUGGAAUGGAGGGAGUAUAUC